Molecule: ribosomal RNA, 399 nt
Filed under: uncultured bacterium
Lineage: Bacteria
Description: bacterial SSU rRNA
Rfam family: Bacterial small subunit ribosomal RNA
Source: RNAcentral
AAUCAACGCUGGCGGCGUGCCUCAGACAUGCAAGUCGAACGCGAAAGUCCCCUUCGGGGGACGAAGUAGAGUGGCGCACGGGUGAGUAACACGUAGGUAAUCUACCUUCGGAUGGGGAAGUAACAACCGGAAACGGUUGCUAAUACCGCAUAAUGCAGCGGCACCUAAUGGUGACAGUUGUUAAAGCGGGGGAGUCGAAAGACCUCGCGUCUGAAGAGGAGCCUGCGGCGGAUUAGCUAGNGGUAAGGUAAUGGCUUACCAAGGCGACGAUCCGUAGCCGGCCUGAGAGGGCGGUCGGCCACACUGACACUGACAUACGGGUCAGACUCCUACGGGAGACAGCAGUCGGGAAUUUGGGUCAAUGGGCGAAAGCCUGACCCAGCAACGCCGCGUGAAGGA